UCCUGGCAUGUAAAGGGAUUUUGUGCUG
This 28-nucleotide non-coding RNA is filed under the name Mus musculus (house mouse). The record is from RNAcentral. Lineage: Eukaryota; Metazoa; Chordata; Mammalia; Rodentia; Muridae.